This 440-nucleotide ribosomal RNA is filed under the name uncultured bacterium. RNAcentral's name for it is "partial 16S ribosomal RNA". It matches the Rfam family "Bacterial small subunit ribosomal RNA", at positions 338 to 795 of the family's 1533-position model. The record is from RNAcentral.
CCUACGGGAGGCAGCAGUGGGGAAUAUUGGACAAUGGGGGAAACCCUGAUCCAGCGACGCCGCGUGAGUGAAGAAGUAUUUCGGUACGUAAAGCUCUAUCAGCAGGAAAGAAAAUGACGGUACCUGACUAAGAAGCCCCGGCUAACUACGUGCCAGCAGCCGCGGUAAUACGUAGGGGGCAGGCGUUAUCCGGAUUUACUGGGUGGAAAGGGAGCGUAGACGGCAGCGCAAGUCUGGAGUGAAAUGCCGGGGCCCAACCCCGGAACUGCUCUGGAAACUGUGAAGCUGGAGUGCAGGAGAGGUAAGCGGAAUUCCUGGUGUAGCGGUGAAAUGCGUAGAUAUCAGGAGGAACACCGGCGGCGAAGGCGGCUUACUGGACUGUAACUGACGUUGAGGCUCGAAGGCGUGGGGAGCAAACAGGAUUAGAUACCCUGGUAGUC